This 342-nucleotide ribosomal RNA is filed under the name uncultured bacterium. RNAcentral describes it as "bacterial SSU rRNA". It matches the Rfam family "Bacterial small subunit ribosomal RNA", at positions 28 to 349 of the family's 1533-position model. The record is from RNAcentral.
GACGAACGCUGGCGGCGUGCUUAACACAUGCAAGUCGAACGAGAAUCUACUGAAGGGGGAUUCGUCCAACGGAAGUAGAGGAAAGUGGCGGACGGGUGAGUAACGCGUGAGGAACCUGCCUUGAAGAGGGGGACAACAGUUGGAAACGACUGCUAAUACCGCAUGAAGCAUAGGGGUCGCAUGAUUCUUAUGCCAAAGAUUUAUCGCUUCAAGAUGGCCUCGCGUCUGAUUAGCUAGUUGGCGGGGUAACGGCCCCACCAAAGGCGACGAUCAGUAGCCGGACUGAGAGGUUGAACGGCCACAUUGGGACUGAGAUAACGGCCCACGACUCCUACGGGAGGC